This 234-nucleotide ribosomal RNA is filed under the name uncultured bacterium. Its description in RNAcentral is "partial 16S ribosomal RNA". It matches the Rfam family "Bacterial small subunit ribosomal RNA", at positions 524 to 758 of the family's 1533-position model. The record is from RNAcentral.
UACAGAGGGUGCGAGCGUUGUUCGGAAUUAUUGGGCGUAAGGGCGCGUAGGCGGUGCGGUAAGUCACCUGUGAAAUCUCCUGGCUCAACUGGGAGCUUGCAGGCGAAACUGCCGUGCUGGAGUGUGGGAGAGGUGCGUGGAAUUCCUGGUGUAGCGGUGAAAUGCGUAGAUAUCGGGAGGAACACCUGUGGCGAAAGCGGCUCACUGGACCGCAACUGACGCUGAGGCGCGAAG